Molecule: unclassified non-coding RNA, 1409 nt
Filed under: uncultured Neocallimastigales
Lineage: Eukaryota; Fungi; Neocallimastigomycota; Neocallimastigomycetes; Neocallimastigales
Description: partial contains small subunit ribosomal RNA, internal transcribed spacer 1, 5.8S ribosomal RNA, internal transcribed spacer 2, and large subunit ribosomal RNA
Rfam family: Eukaryotic large subunit ribosomal RNA (bases 646-1409)
Source: RNAcentral
GGAAGUAAAAGUCGUAACAAGGUUUCCGUAGGUGAACCUGCGGAAGGAUCAUUAAUAAAUGGUCUACGUUUUUAAGUAGACGCUUAAUAAUCCUACCCUUUGUGAAUUUGUUUGUUUGAAAUAAUUUUUUUUAAAAUUAUUGAAUGUCUUUCCCUGUUGAAUUGGUUGUCUUUAAUGGCAAGUGAUUCGCAGGGGAGUGUCAAUAAUUUUUAAAAAGACCUUUUUUAAAAUUAAACUUUUUGUAUUCAUUUGUCUAAAAAUUAUUUUUAUAAUAUAAAAACAACUUUUGACAAUGGAUCUCUUGGUUCUCGCAACGAUGAAGAACGCAGCAAAAUGCGAUAAGUAGUGUGAAUUGCAGAAUACGUGAAUCAUCGAAUCUUCGAACGCAUAUUGCACUUUUUUAGUUGCUAAAAAAGUAUGUCUGUUUGAGUAUCAGUAAAAUAUUCUCAUAAAAAACAUUGUUUUUUAUGGUUAUGAGUGUUUUACAACGAUACAAGUUGUUUCACUUUAAAUUUUUUUAAAAUUUGAAUUUUUCUAAUUUUAAAAUAAAAUUGGAUAAAAUUUUCCCGUAAAAAGGAAUAACCUAAACAAUUUUAAUUUUUGAUUAGAAUUCUUCAUUCUAAAGGAAAAUUUAACUAAAUAACUUGAUCUCAAAUCAGAUAAGAGUACCGCUGAACUUAAGCAUAUCAAUAAGCGGAGGAAAAGAAACUAACAAGGAUUCCCUUAGUAACGGCGAGUGAAGCGGGAAGAGCUCAAAUUUGAAAUCUCAAGGUUUUACCUUGACGAAUUGUAGUUUAAAGAAGUGUUUCUGUUGAAGUUUUGGUAAAAGUUCUUUGGAAUAGGACAUCAUAGAGGUGAGAAUCCCGUAUUUGACCAUUAUUUUCAGCUGUGUGAUACACUUUCAAAGAGUCGGAUUGUUUGGGAAUGCAGUCCAAAAUGGGUGGUAAAUUUCAUCUAAAGCUAAUAUUGGCGAGAGACCGAUAGCGAACAAGUACCGUGAGGGAAAGAUGAAAAGAACUUUGAAAAGAGAGUUAAACAGUACGUGAAAUUGUCAAAAGGGAAGCGUUUGACACCAGUGUUGUUUUCUCGAAAAUCAAUUAAAAAGAGUUGGAUUUUGUGUUGUAUUGACCUUAACAGCUUGCUUCACUCUUUUCCAGCUUUUUUUAAUGCACUUUUCGUUUAACAAGUCAACAUCAGUUUCUUUUGUUGUAAAAGGGUCAUUGGAAGGUGGCUUUCUCUUCGGAGAAAGUGUUUAUAGCCUUUGAUCUCUGCAAUCGGAGAGACUGAGGUCUGCAGCGUAGAUCCUUCGGGUUAGAUACAUUUGUGCUAAGCUACAGCUUUUCAUAGACAACUUGUUGACUAUGUUUAGUCUUGUGACUUACCCGCUUAUGCUAUUUUACCUACGCUUA